GAUGAACGCUGGCGGCGUGCCUAAAACAUGCAAGUCGUGCGGCAGCGGGCCUUCGGGUGCCGGCGAGCGGCGGACGGGUGAGUAACGCGUAGGAACGUACCCCAAAGUGAGGGAUAAGCCCCGGAAACGGAGUCUAAUACCGCAUAUGCUCUUAGGAGUAAAGGAGUAAUCCGCUUUGGGAGCGGCCUGCGUCCGAUUAGUUUGUUGGUGAGGUAAUGGCUUACCAAGACGAUGAUCGGUAGCUGGUUUGAGAGGAUGAUCAGCCACACUGGGACUGAGACACGGCCCAGACUCCUACGGGAGGCAGCAGUUAGGAAUUUUCCACAAUGGGGGCAACCCUGAUGGAGCAACGCCGCGUGCAGGAAGACGGCCUUCGGGUUGUAAACUGCUUUUAAAAGUGAAGAUUAUGACGGUAACUUUAGAAUAAGGAUCGGCUAACUCCGUGCCAGCAGCCGCAGUAA
RNAcentral lists this ribosomal RNA (461 nucleotides) under uncultured bacterium. Its description in RNAcentral is "partial 16S ribosomal RNA". It matches the Rfam family "Bacterial small subunit ribosomal RNA", at positions 28 to 523 of the family's 1533-position model. The record is from RNAcentral.